RNAcentral lists this long non-coding RNA (1203 nucleotides) under Ricinus communis (castor bean). RNAcentral's name for it is "long non-coding RNA (RCOM_LNC000009)". The record is from RNAcentral. Lineage: Eukaryota; Viridiplantae; Streptophyta; Magnoliopsida; Malpighiales; Euphorbiaceae.
ACUAAAAAAAGAUAAUAGAUAUGGUAAAGAGAAGCAUGCAUCUUAAAAUAUUACAAAAGAUUAGCUUGCAGAAAAGGAAAAAAAUCCAGAUCCAUGUACCCACAAGCUGAAUCUACAAUCCUCCUUUAACCCUGAAUUUUUCUUUGGAUGGCUCUGAAACAAUGACUAGUAGUCCCAAAACUAGAUUGGACCACUUUAUGAUCAAUGAAUCCCCAGAUGGCAUUCCUUUUUCCGUUUAAUGUCUGUGCAGAUUCCAUUUCUGCUUGAAUCUCUUCCUUGAAAAUAUAGAGGAAACUGACGAUGCUCACCAAAGAAAAAAAGAAUUUUCAAUCUUGAGCUGAAGAUAUACUAAAUUCUUUUAAUAUUAAAUCAAAGGUUUUGCUUGUGAUUUUCUUUUAAUGUUUUUUUUUCGUUCUCUGUAAAGGCACAUGUGACAUGACAAUAAUUUUACUUUUCUUCUUUAAUAUUCUCUUUCCUGCUUUCUAAACUCCAUUUUAAAGAUCUUACAUUGCAUGCUUAGGAUUCAACAGUUAGCUAAGUCUGUAAUUGGCCUUUUAAUAGAGUUCAUAAUAUCUAAUCCCAAACAUCACCCUGUUCUUUCUCUAUAUCUUCACUUUUGAUUUUACUUUUAAGACUGAAAAGAGAAGAAGGCGUAACACUUUGAUACAGAACUUCCCUACGGUUAUUUAUGAGUGUAAAGAGAAACAGGCAUGCCAUUACAAGACGUGUAGCAAAAAAUGUUUCAAAUACAUUAAUAGAAAGAAGGGCUUUCAUGGCCAAACCAUCCUAGGGACAUAGCUGAAAAUACAGAUAAAAGAGAACCACAUAACAGUAAGGAACCCUCGACGAUGACGACUACUUUAAUAAGCUAUCCAUUGCAUCAAUGACAAUAAUUAAUCACUUUCAAAUACUGCAAAAUUAACGUCUUUGUUUUUAGCAGCUGCCACAGCGUGGCGCACAGCCAAUACUGAGAAACGAUGGGUAAAGGAGACCGACACACUGCCAUCCCAAUUCCUAACAACAAUACCAACGGCAACCCGCCCUUUCUUUCUUACAAACAGCCCCAUCAAAGUUGAAUUUAUGGAAAAGUAUGCAAGGAGGGCACCAAUCCAUAAAGGGGACUGGGGAUUGCUUGAAGAGACCUCCACCUUGACUGACAUGUUUCCUUAACUGAUUCCCAAAAAUGGGUUAUUUUUGACAUAG